This 421-nucleotide ribosomal RNA is filed under the name uncultured bacterium. RNAcentral's name for it is "partial 16S ribosomal RNA". It matches the Rfam family "Bacterial small subunit ribosomal RNA", at positions 360 to 773 of the family's 1533-position model. The record is from RNAcentral.
AAUAUUGGACAAUGGGCGAAAGCCUGAUCCAGCCAUGCCGCGUGUGUGGAGAAGGUCUUCGGAUUGUAAAGCACUUUAAGUUGGGAGGAAGGGUUGUAGGUUAAUACCCUGCAAUUUUGACGUUACCAACAGAAUAAGCACCGGCUAACUUCGUGCCAGCAGCCGCGGUAAUACGAAGGGUGCAAGCGUUAAUCGGAAUUACUGGGCGUAAAGCGCGCGUAGGUGGUUCGUUAAGUUGGAAGUGAAAGCCCCGGGCUUAACCUGGGAAUUGCUUUCAAAACUGACGAGCUAGAGUACGGUAGAGGGUAGUGGAAUUUCCUGUGUGGCGGUGAAAUGCGUAGAUAUAGGAAGGAACAUCAGUGGCGAAGGCGGCCGGCUGGACCUGACCUGACGCUGAGGCGCGAAGGCGUGGGGAGCGAAC